RNAcentral lists this ribosomal RNA (253 nucleotides) under uncultured bacterium. RNAcentral's name for it is "partial 16S ribosomal RNA". It matches the Rfam family "Bacterial small subunit ribosomal RNA", at positions 524 to 776 of the family's 1533-position model. The record is from RNAcentral.
UACGUAGGUGGCAAGCGUUGUCCGGAUUUACUGGGCGUAAAGAGCGCGCAGGCGGUCGUUUAAGUCGAAUGUGAAAGCCCCCGGCUCAACUGGGGAGGGUCAUUCGAUACUGAUCGACUUGAAGGCAGGAGAGAGAAGUGGAAUUCCCGGUGUAGUGGUGAAAUGCGUAGAUAUCGGGAGGAACACCGGUGGCGAAGGCGGUCUGCUGGGCAGUAGCUGACACUGAGGCGCGACAGCGUGGGGAGCAAACAGG